CAGAGCUCACUGGUCAACUGUACAAUUCUAUUCGUCUCAACAUAUUUGUUGCCUGGUCACUACAUGUUGGGCAUGGGGAAUAUGGUGGUGGGCAAGAGAAGAAUGUUGUCUUGCUCUUAUAGGGCUUAUAUUGGUUGUAAGGAUCAGUAUAAGCCAACUGCUGUUUAAUUUUGACCUUCUCUCCCUCUCUACUUAGUCAGCAGAGUCGUAUGAUAUGCACUAGUACCAAGUAGGCAUCUGAACAGUGUGAUCAGCUAGAAAGGUUUGAGCUCAGAGAUGGAGCACCGACCACCAUGCUGGAGGAGAAUCAUGAGGAUAUAAUUACAAGCACUGAGUUGCUUAACAGGAAUAUGCGGAGUGAAUAGUUUCGUGCCACAGUGGAUGGAAUCCUGCACAGCCCAUUCCAGCUGCGUAGAGGAGGUGAAAGGAGCCAUCAACAUGCCCUGGAACCUCUGCCGCGGUUGCCAUAAAAGGAAGAGUCACGUACGACCUCUCUUUGAAGUACUGAAAGAAAAAAGAGAAACAAACACCUGACAUGAGCUAUAUCAUUACCUUGGUUUAACUGAUACUUAAAAACUGUCCUCUGUUGUUAUCAUUUUUUGAAACUGAGCUCUAUCAUAUCUUAGCUACAACCUAUGAGAAAACUCUAAGAGGAAAUCCCAGGAAGAAUUGACUUUUCAAUCUUCCGUCUUUCAAUUUCUUUGCUUGCAAAUAAAAUUAGUAUUAGAGGCCUUAGAACAAAAUCAGUACUACUCAUAUCCUGCUUAGGUAAGCCAGAUGACAUACUUGUUUAUUCAGAAACUGAAAGUUCCUUUCACUUUUAUUAUUUUCCAGCCUAGGGUUUCAAANNAUCCUUGAAUAGUUCUCAAAUAAAUGGGAAUUUACCAUGGCGGUGCAUACACCCAGAGGU
This 910-nucleotide long non-coding RNA is filed under the name Capra hircus (goat). RNAcentral's name for it is "lncRNA (ENSCHIG00010028360.1)". Lineage: Eukaryota; Metazoa; Chordata; Mammalia; Artiodactyla; Bovidae. The record is from RNAcentral.